RNAcentral lists this ribosomal RNA (116 nucleotides) under Neolamprologus brichardi. Lineage: Eukaryota; Metazoa; Chordata; Actinopteri; Cichliformes; Cichlidae. The record is from RNAcentral.
CUUAACACUGAGCCCCGAGCAUGCCCAAUUUCAUCUAAUCUCGCAAACUAAUUAGGGUCGAGCUUGGUUAGUACAUAGAUGGGUGAUUACCGUUGAAUACCAGAGCCUAUUUGAGU